Molecule: ribosomal RNA, 467 nt
Filed under: uncultured bacterium
Lineage: Bacteria
Description: bacterial SSU rRNA
Rfam family: Bacterial small subunit ribosomal RNA
Source: RNAcentral
UACCAGACUCCUACGGGAGGCAGCAGUGAGGAAUAUUGGUCAAUGGGCGCGAGCCUGAACCAGCCAAGUCGCGUGAGGGAGGACGGCCCUACGGGUUGUAAACCUCUUUUGCCGGGGAGCAACGGGCGUCACGUGUGGCGCCACUGAGAGUACCCGGAGAAAAAGCAUCGGCUAACUCCGUGCCAGCAGCCGCGGUAAUACGUAGGGUGCAAGCGUUAUCCGGAUUUAUUGGGCGUAAAGGGCUCGUAGGCGGUUCGUCGCGCCCGGUGUGAAAGUCCAUCGCUUAACGGUGGAUCCGCGCCGGGUACGGGCGGGCUUGAGUGCGGUAGGGGAGACUGGAAUUCCCGGUGUAACGGUGGAAUGUGUAGAUAUCGGGAAGAACACCAAUGGCGAAGGCAGGUCUCUGGGCCGUUACUGACGCUGAGGAGCGAAAGCGUGGGGAGCGAACAGGAUUAGAUACCCCAGUA